RNAcentral lists this ribosomal RNA (254 nucleotides) under uncultured bacterium. RNAcentral describes it as "partial 16S ribosomal RNA". It matches the Rfam family "Bacterial small subunit ribosomal RNA", at positions 524 to 776 of the family's 1533-position model. The record is from RNAcentral.
UACGUAGGUGGCAAGCGUUGACCGGAUUUACUGGGCGUAAAGAGCGCGCAGGCGGUCGUUCAAGUCGCGUGUGAAAGCCCCCGGCUCAACUGGGGAGGGUCACGCGAUACUGAUCGACUCGAAGGCAGGAGAGGGUAGUGGAAUUCCCGGUGUAGUGGUGAAAUGCGUAGAUAUCGGGAGGAACCACAGUGGCGAAGGCGACUACCUGGGCUGUUUCUUGACGCUGAGGCGCGAAAGCUAGGGGAGCAAACGGG